UCCUGAGCACUACAUCAGCACAAGCAGGGCUGGCUGCUCGCCCAUCGAUCUGCACGCAUAUCUGUCCGCAGCAACACCGGCAGCCCGCAGUGAGCAACGCCAGCACGAAACGCCACGGUGCUGGGGGAGCACCACAGCCUCGGAGGGAAGGGAUGUGACAUUGCAUUCAUCUUUGAGAGCAAACAAAUGGCAUCUUUAACUUGCAGAGGAGCCGAAGCGAAUCUGUGAGACAAACAGCAGUAAAAAUGCACGGUAGCUUUCCAGAUUUCUCAAAGCAAGCCUCAGCUAGACAGUGGAAAUGGCGAGAAUAUUUUAAAACAAAUGAGGACGUCGGUAACGCUGCUUCAUCUGCAUAGGGUUUUUGACUUUUUCAUACCCUGGUUCCAGUCAAAAGAUGAGAUCUGUCUGAGAACGGGUCAGUUACUGCACACCAUUACAAUAAAGGCAGAGGGGGCGAUUCCAGCAGAGGGGAAUUCUGCCCAAGCACACCGGUCAGUAAAUAACAGCAGGCUUUUUUUUUCCUAAAAAGGGUAGAUAUGUGUCAAGAGCAGAGUCUCUCCUUGCACACAUGGAGAUUCUUUUCAAAACAAGAAAAGUAAUCAAGAUCUUGCAUGUUACAAAACCGGUGUGUAACCAUUACAACCAAGCAGAAAUGAAUAAUGAAUUGAAUGCUAAUUAAAUACAAAUCACAGUUUGGAAGGAGUACAAACAUUCAGCAGCUUUUCCAUGCUCUUCUAGGAUUGCUUUGAAAAUCCCUUUCUCCAGUGUAUGGCCUUAUCUAGAAU
Molecule: long non-coding RNA, 785 nt
Organism: Gallus gallus (chicken)
Lineage: Eukaryota; Metazoa; Chordata; Aves; Galliformes; Phasianidae
Source: Ensembl